RNAcentral lists this ribosomal RNA (301 nucleotides) under uncultured bacterium. Its description in RNAcentral is "partial 16S ribosomal RNA". It matches the Rfam family "Bacterial small subunit ribosomal RNA", at positions 509 to 807 of the family's 1533-position model. The record is from RNAcentral.
CAGUAGCCGCGGGAAUACGAGGGGGGCAAGCGUUGUUCGGAUUUAUUGGGCGUAAAGGGUGCGUAGGCGGUUUGGCAAGUCUUGUGUGAAAUCUCCGGGCUCAACCCGAAGCCUGCACGAGAAACUACCGGGCUUGAGUAUUGGAGAGGUGAGUGGAAUUUCCGGUGUAGCGGUGAAAUGCGUAGAUAUCGGAAGGAACACCUGUGGCGAAAGCGGCUCACUGGACAAUAACUGACGCUGAUGCACGAAAGCUAGGGGAGCAAACAGGAUUAGAUACCCCCGUAGUCCCUGUCUCUUAUAC